UACGAAAGGUGAUAGCGUUGUGCGGAAUCACUGGGCGUAAAGCGCACGCAGGCGGAUCGAUAAGUCGGGGGUUAAAGCCCGGGGCUCAACCUCGGAAUUGCCUUCGAUACUGUCGGUCUCGAGUCCGGGAGAGGUGAGUGGAAUUCCUAGUGUAGAGGUGAAAUUCGUAGAUAUUAGGAAGAACACCAGUGGCGAAGGCGGCUCACUGGUCCGGUACUGACGCUCUGGUGCGAAAGCGUGGGGAGCAAACAGG
This 253-nucleotide ribosomal RNA is filed under the name uncultured bacterium. RNAcentral describes it as "partial 16S ribosomal RNA". It matches the Rfam family "Bacterial small subunit ribosomal RNA", at positions 524 to 776 of the family's 1533-position model. The record is from RNAcentral.